AGUGAACGCUGGCGGUAGGCCUAACACAUGCCAGUCGAACGGCAGCACAGUAAGAGCUUGCUCUUACGGGUGGCGAGUGGCGGACGGGUGAGGAAUACAUCGGAAUCUACUUUUUCGUGGGGGAUAACGUAGGGAAACUUACGCUAAUACCGCAUACGACCUACGGGUGAAAGCAGGGGAUCUUCGGACCUUUCGCGAUUGACUGAGCCGAUGUCGGAUUAGCUAGUUGGCGGGGUAAAGGCCCACCAAGGCGACGAUCCGUAGCUGGUCUGAGAGGAUGAUCAGCCACACUGGAACUGAGACACGGUCCAGACUCCUACGGGAGGCAGCAGUGGGGAAUAUUGGACAAUGGGCGCAAGCCUGAUCCAGCCAUACCGCGUGGGUGAAGAAGGCCUUCGGGUUGUAAAGCCCUUUUGUUGGGAAAGAAAAGCAGCAGGUUAAUACCCCGCUGUUCUGACGGUACCCAAAGAAUAAGCACCGGCUAACUUCGUG
RNAcentral lists this ribosomal RNA (492 nucleotides) under uncultured bacterium. RNAcentral's name for it is "partial 16S ribosomal RNA". It matches the Rfam family "Bacterial small subunit ribosomal RNA", at positions 29 to 507 of the family's 1533-position model. The record is from RNAcentral.